Molecule: long non-coding RNA, 312 nt
Organism: Mauremys reevesii (Reeves's turtle)
Lineage: Eukaryota; Metazoa; Chordata; Testudines; Geoemydidae
Exons: 3
Source: RefSeq, a predicted model, not a curated record
CCAGAUUGGACAGAUGUGAUCCAUAAUGAACAGGAGGAAUUGAAGAAGUCACUGGGGCUCUGAAUAUCACAAAGAGAAGUGGCAGAUCAACAAGCUGAAACCUGAAUAUUUUUACUCAUGAGCAGAAGUGCUUUUACUUGAAAAUUGGACCUGAGCUGCCAGUGCUACAUACUUGGAAUUUGCAUUGAAAUCAGUGGUAUUGAUUCUUGAAUGUAAAUGGAAAUUCCAUGAAUAGAGGGACUUUUAUGAUCAGGCUCUUAAUGCUGAAUAUAAAAUAUGCUUCCAGGCUGAGAUUUUCUUGCUAUUUUUAAG